UGGAUCUGGCUUCUUUCUAUCAUUCUCAUCUAGAAGAUCAUCUGAAUCAAUUAUAUCCUAAUUAAAUAGAUAAUUGAUACAUUAAAUGGGAAAUCCACCAGAAGACUCAACACAAGGGUUCAUAAUAAGGAUUAGUUUACAUACAACAUCAUCAUCAUUCAUAUCUUGUGCUGACAAGGUCCACACUUUCGCAGCAUUUUCUGAUGGAAUUUCUGAAAAUAUAAAGUUGCCAUUGAUAUAAUCUUCUUCGCUGUGAGUGAACAUUUUAAUGAUCACCCUAAAAUGAAUUACCAGCAAAAAUCAAUUGGGAGGAACAGACCUGUUUGUGGAAGGAGAGGUUUUACGUACCUGUGAAAUAUCAACAAAUCCGGAUAAUUUUAGUGUUGAUACCAGUUUGUCUUGGGUGACUAGUGUGUUGAUGUUUCCUAUCAAUAAGACAAUCAUGGAAAAUUAGCAAUGGAUAGAUGCAAGGAUAUCCAAAUCGUGGAUGAAAGUUGAUGGAAAAGUCACACCAGAAUAUAUAUGGUCGAAGGAAGAUUCUGUGUGCGACGCUGAAAAUAUUAAGAGGAAAAGGUUCAACUUCAAAAUGGAUUGCUUCUGGUAUAUUUGAUCAGCUAAAAUGAUUUAUUUUCAUUACAAAUAAGAUUUGUAGAUGUAUAAUUGCACAAUUAAUCUAAAGUAAAUCUGAAUUUAACACUGAAAACUUACACAAUUU
Long non-coding RNA from Dendronephthya gigantea, 715 nucleotides. RefSeq lists it as uncharacterized. The transcript has 4 exons. The record is from RefSeq and is a predicted model, not a curated record. NCBI's taxonomy places the organism in Eukaryota, Metazoa, Cnidaria, Anthozoa, Malacalcyonacea, Nephtheidae.